UAAGUAUUUGUGAUUUAUUUUAUUUUUAAGGAUAUUUUCUAUUAUAAUUUGCUUUAUUUCGUAGAGUUAGAAAUAUCAAAAUAUUUCGAAUCGAAACGGCUGACUUUCAAAUCAAAAUUUACAGAAUUUUCCUCAUUCCUACUAUAAAGUGGCCUUUUUUUUUGCCAAUAACUUGAUUAUAUUUUUAGUUCAACAAUAUUCUUUUUUUUUUUUUGAAAUGGGGAACACAUUACAUCAUUAUAUAAUUUCUAACUCUAUUACAUAUUAUGAUCAACUAUUUGGAAUUUGAACUUCAGAUCUGUGUAUAGAAACUUUUAAACCUUAAUCAGUAGACUAUAGCGCUUCUAAAAUUCAACUAUAUACUCAUGUGGACUACUAUGUAGGUAGGAGAAGAAAGUCUCGAUAUUGAGCAACCUAUUUUAAAACACCUUUUAGAAAUUAGAUUGUUAAGAAAGACACAUCCAUUGUCACUUAAGGGAUGUAUUAAAAUUUCC
RNAcentral lists this long non-coding RNA (494 nucleotides) under Brassica rapa (field mustard). RNAcentral describes it as "long non-coding RNA (BRAP_LNC005975)". Lineage: Eukaryota; Viridiplantae; Streptophyta; Magnoliopsida; Brassicales; Brassicaceae. The record is from RNAcentral.